Long non-coding RNA from Dipodomys ordii (Ord's kangaroo rat), 127 nucleotides. RefSeq lists it as uncharacterized. The transcript has 3 exons. The record is from RefSeq and is a predicted model, not a curated record. NCBI's taxonomy places the organism in Eukaryota, Metazoa, Chordata, Mammalia, Rodentia, Heteromyidae.
GGUUGGCACAGAGUAAAGUACAGACCUGUACUGUGUUCCUGAAAAUUCCUAGGCAGCAUGGGAAAUACACACACAGAGCCAGGUACAGGUGGCUCACACCUAUAAUUCUGGUUAUUCAGGAGGCUGA